AAGCGGUGGAUGAUGUUGGUUUAAUUCGAUGCAACGCGAAAACCUUACCCACCUUUGACAUGGCAGGAAUCCCGAAGAGAUUUGGGAGUGCUCGAAAGAGAACCUGCACACAGGUGCUGCAUGGCUGUCGUCAGCUCGUGUCGUGAGAUGUUGGGUUAAGUCCCGCAACGAGCGCAACCCUUGUCAUUAGUUGCUACAUUCAGUUGGGCACUCUAAUGAGACUGCCGGUGACAAGCCGGAGGAAGGUGGGGAUGACGUCAAGUCCUCAUGGCCCUUAUAGGUGGGGCUACACACGUCAUACAAUGGCUGGUACAAAGGGUUGCCAACCCGCGAGGGGGAGCCAAUCCCAUAAAGCCAGUCGUAGUCCGGAUCGUAGUCUGCAACUCGACUACGUGAAGUCGGAAUCGCUAGUAAUCGUGGAUCAGAAUGUCACGGUGAAUACGUUCCCGGGUCUU
RNAcentral lists this ribosomal RNA (455 nucleotides) under uncultured Rhodoferax sp. RNAcentral's name for it is "bacterial SSU rRNA". It matches the Rfam family "Bacterial small subunit ribosomal RNA", at positions 927 to 1382 of the family's 1533-position model. Lineage: Bacteria; Pseudomonadati; Pseudomonadota; Betaproteobacteria; Burkholderiales; Comamonadaceae. The record is from RNAcentral.